UACAGAGGUCUCAAGCGUUGUUCGGAUUCAUUGGGCGUAAAGGGUGCGUAGGCGGCGCGGUAAGUCGGGUGUGAAAUCUCGGGGCUUAACUCCGAAACUGCAUUCGAUACUACCGUGCUUGAGGACUGGAGAGGAGACUGGAAUUUACGGUGUAGCGGUGAAAUGCGCAGAUAUCAGGAGGAACACCGGUGGCGAAGGCGGGUCUCUGGGCAGUAACUGACGCUGAGGAGCGAAAGCGUGGGGAGCGAACAGG
RNAcentral lists this ribosomal RNA (253 nucleotides) under uncultured bacterium. RNAcentral's name for it is "partial 16S ribosomal RNA". It matches the Rfam family "Bacterial small subunit ribosomal RNA", at positions 524 to 776 of the family's 1533-position model. The record is from RNAcentral.